Molecule: long non-coding RNA, 518 nt
Filed under: Ananas comosus (pineapple)
Lineage: Eukaryota; Viridiplantae; Streptophyta; Magnoliopsida; Poales; Bromeliaceae
Description: long non-coding RNA (ACOM_LNC021782)
Source: RNAcentral
UAAAUUUACAGAAAAAAAAAAAGUUGAUGAUGGUACAAAAAAGAGAUAGGCUACUUUUCAAUAGAAAAUAGAAAAAACUUUAAAAAUCUUUCUUGUGGUUUCAAUUUUUUUCACUUUAAUAUCCUAUAGUUUAAAGUGUAUCAAGUUAGUACCCUGUGGUUUCUCACUUUAUCACUUUAGUAUCCUGUGGUUUAAAGUGUAUCAAGUUAGUACCUUGUGAUUUUGCACUUUAUCACUUUAGUACAUUAUGGUUUUAAUUUUGUAUCAAGUUAGUAUCCUGUGCUUUUUUAAAUCACAUGGUACUAAAGUGAUAAAGUGUGAAACUACAGGGUACUAAAGUGAUAAAGUGCAAAACCACAUGAUACUAACUUGAUACACUUUAAACCACAGGGUACUAAAGUGAUAAAGUGAGAAACUACAGGGUACUAACUUAAUACGUUUUGAACCAUAGGGUACGAAAAUGAAAAAGUGUGAAACUAAGGGGAGCUUUUUGAAGCUUUUUCUAGAAAAUAUAUAAG